AGGGCUGUCGCCAAGCGGUAAGGCACUGGAUUUUGAUUCCAGCAUACCCAGGUUCGAAUCCUGGCAGCCCUGCCA
This 75-nucleotide transfer RNA is filed under the name Thiothrix sp. RNAcentral describes it as "tRNA-Gln". It matches the Rfam family "tRNA". From Rfam's summary of the family: Transfer RNA (tRNA) molecules are approximately 80 nucleotides in length. Their secondary structure includes four short double-helical elements and three loops (D, anti-codon, and T loops). Lineage: Bacteria; Pseudomonadati; Pseudomonadota; Gammaproteobacteria; Thiotrichales; Thiotrichaceae. The record is from RNAcentral. RNAcentral also lists the same sequence under 2 other names.